UAGCGGAUAGUACCGUGAGGGAAUGGUGAAAAGUACCGCGGGAGCGGAGUGAAAUAGUACCUGAAACCGUGUGCCUACAAGCCGUGGGAGCGUCGCGCAAGAACUUCGGUUCUUGCGUCGUGACUGCGUGCCUUUUGAAGAAUGAGCCUGCGAGUUAGCGGUGUGUAGCGAGGUUAACCCGUGUGGGGAAGCCGUAGCGAAAGCGAGUCCGA
This 212-nucleotide ribosomal RNA is filed under the name Streptomyces albidoflavus. RNAcentral's name for it is "partial 23S ribosomal RNA". It matches the Rfam family "Bacterial large subunit ribosomal RNA", at positions 488 to 686 of the family's 2925-position model. Lineage: Bacteria; Bacillati; Actinomycetota; Actinomycetes; Kitasatosporales; Streptomycetaceae. The record is from RNAcentral.